UUCUCUAUCGUCUUCUCCAGGUCCCGUAGAGAGGCUCCUCUGUAGGCCUUCUCAAAGUUUUUAUCCACAAAGUAAGGCACCUGCAGGUUCUGUGUUUCUCUAGAGAUGGUGUAGCCCAAGGUCCUGAGACAAGGAGAGAGAGUCUCGGAUGCAGAUCCUCUUUUUCUGAAGACUGUGAUAUCAGGAAGGAGGUGGGGAGAAUGAACAGUUAUUUCCUGUAAUGACAGCCUUUCUAGUAAAGGGCUUUAUGGCAGCAGAAAGCCCACAGGGGAGUGGAGUUUUGGCUCUCCACAGGAAGCAGCCACGCCUAUGACUUCUCAGAGAGAACCCUGCAGUUCCAGCCAAAAAAGCAGUCAAGUGGAACCUCAUCGACAUCAUCAUCAUCAUAAGGAACAGGAAGGCCACUGAAGAGCGUUCAUCCUGGGAACUAGAGAAUCUUUACAAAGAUCCGUCUGCAAUGUGGAAAAUGGGUGCAAGAGAACUGCUGGCUGAGAUGGCCUUCCAGCCUGGAGUGGAUGUUGGCCUGAAUCAAGAAAGAGGCAGUGGGGACAGAGAAGAGGCUGGAUUUGGGAGAGGAGGUGGAACCGGAGCAUCCACAGGACCCGAUGAUGCUUUGGCUGUGAGCUAAGGGAAGGUAAGCAGCCAGAGGACAAGGGAAUGGGUGAGAGAACCCAAAAUUAGGUAAGGCAAGUUGGAGGAAUGUCAGGAAGGGAGGAAGGGAUCCAAUGUGGAAUCUGAAGGGUCUGAGAGGGGCAGGCCACGGUGGGCGUGCCUGCUGCCUGAGGACGUACAGGAUAAGGGUGGGGAAGGUACGGCACAUCGGGGACCCCCAGCGCCCCACACUCGGGUGCGCGCUGAGUCCCCAGUUGGACAGAGGUCAGACGGGCCCAGACUGCAGCUAGGUUCAUACCCUUCCUCUAUCCAUUUGGUCUCCUCCUCCGGCUUCUACCAUUCCCGGCAUGCCUCGGGGGCGAUGACUUCAUGGGGCGCGGGUGCCAAGGCCCCGGCCUCCGCUAGGUGGCACUGCUCCCGUCAGUCCUCGGCCCCGCCUGCCGCGCUCUGUUCUCCGGGAGGAUCGGGAGGACCCGCCCGGCUCCGGCUCCGCCUCAGCCUCCGCCUCCGCCUCAGCCUCCGCCUCCGCCUCCCGCUCCGCCUCCGCCUCCCGCUCCCGCACAGCUUGGGCGACAGGUCUGGCCCUGUCCUGCCAGAACGGUCAGCCUCGGAGCCAGGGCCAUUGGCUGGCUGGCUCUGGACCACCCUCCGGGCUUUUGCCCAGAGAUUGGGUUUUUGCACGUUUCUCAGGGUGCGCAGGUCCGAAACCUGGGCACCAUUCUUGAGAUCCCUGCCAUCCUCACACCCACAUCCAGGCAGUUGUGGAGUGUGGUUGGCCUUUCUGCCUUCUCCAGAACCCUUCCCUGAACUCUGCCCUCUCUCAGAUCUGCCAGCAUAAGUAAAGAGACUCCAGAAUCAGCUCCUAGUUCUGACCUUGAGCAAACAAUCUUCCUUUGCUCCAGAUUCCCUUAAGAUCAGAUGGAAAUAGUAAUACCAUCUCAUAAGAUUGUUGGGAGCCCUAAAGAAUCAUCUUUUUCAUUAUAAAUCAAGUGGUCGAUACACAUCAGCUAUUUGAAUAUUUCUUUGUGUUGCUGGAAUACACUCACUGACCCAAACUCUUCAAUGGCUUCUGACUGCCCUUAGGAUCCAGUCCAAACUUUUAGCUUGGCCUACAAGGCCCUUUCAGUCUCAUUUCCUGUCAUUUCCCAUCUCUUCCUCCCCCACAUCCUUUGUUGUUUUAUCAUAGAAUUCUCUGUGCCUUGACCUGAAUACACUUUUCCCAUUUUCUCUCCUCACUUUUGAAACCCAUCUCAAAAGCCUUCCUGUCAAAUACUUCCCAAUGGUCCCAAAGUUUUAAGAUGCCCAGAACUGGCAUUAUCAGAAACAAAAUGGAAAGACUAAGGAACAAUAUGUCACAAUUAUAAAUAUGUUUGAGCCCUCUGUGCUUAUAGGGACAAAAAUAGCUGCGGAAAUGAUUGAGCUGGAAUAUUAAAAGCAAAGAGGAGGAAGAAGGAACAAAGAAAAGAAGUUUCCCCCACCCUUUAGGCCAACAGGUGCCCAGGCCCUGAGGAGGCCACCUCCCCAGGAACCAAAUCAGGUCUCUAGACAGAACAGGUUUAUAGCUUCUUGGAGGCUAUUGCUACACACCUAUUUAAGCGGCUUUUCCAGAUGUGGAAAUGGAUGCCCCCGAGUCACCUGCCUAUUGACAUCUAGUACCCUGAAAACCAGAGGCUAGCACAUGUGAGGAGACCAACCAGAUCUGGGACAAUGCAAACUGAUGGAGGUCUGAACCCGCAAUCUCUGUGGGUAAUCUGGACCCCAGCAGACCCCUGUAAAUAACCUGAUAAGCCAAUGCUUACACCCAAUGUCCUUCAGCACUACCCCCUCCUAAACCAGGUCACCCAAAGCCUCCCCUGAAUGACGCCAAUCUCAUAGAGGUGAGGGACACAGAGUGUUAAACCUCUUCUGAAUCAUCUGAGUAUUUCGCCAGUACUUACUAAUAUGUGUUCCAGACCUUGGUCUGGGUAAUGGUCAAUAGAUGGGACAGAUAGAAUAGUGUCAUUUUUGCCCUCUUGGGACUCAUAGUCUAAUGGCAGAGAUGAGUAAGCCAUGAAGACAAGAUGUGACAAGUGCUGUGGGAGGAUUAUGUGAACUGAGGACAGGCAGUGUGGUGCAGUGCUUAGAGGCCUAGAUGGGCAGCAGAUGCUACUGUGAGAGUGCUUAGUGCUAAACAUGACAUGACUCUUGAUCUUGGGGUUGUGAGUUCGAGCCCCAUGUUGGGUGUAGAGAUUAUUUAAAAAAUAAAAUCUUAAAAAUUUUUUUUACCCAAGAGGCUGUUGAAGAUGCAGAAGUCUAGUGUCCAGCUUAUCCUCUAAGCCUUCUGCAAGCUUCCCAACAAAUAUGAGCUACCCUCAUUAAAUCUAUGUAGUUAUCAUUCAUAGUACCCCAGAGUAGAGAUAAGCAUCCUCCCCUCCCCCUCACAGGUAGCCUGGGUACAUCGCCUGAACAGAGGACAAUGGAAAGGGAAGGGUGAACAAUGGGAGAAAGACAUGGUGGAAUGCACCUCUCGAGGAAGUAGCCCAGACCUUUAGGAUGCCAGAGAACACCAAAGGGCCCAGCAGGUGGAAAAGGGCUCCUUGAGGACCUGUCUUGGGGGUCUGUUUGCAUGAGAAUGAGAAAGCAUCAGUUAUCCAAAUCAGAGAAAGAGAAGGGGCUACCAGCCCUCCUUGACACUGUCAGGUUGUGUCCCCAACUCUCAAGUUGAUCAAACACACAACCGCUGAUACCAAAGAGUAUCAAAAUAGGGACCACAGAAGUGCUUGGGUCUUCUUUCUUGCUACUGCUUUUCUUUUGACCCAAACUUUUAGAUCUGCUAGGGUUUCUUAUUCUGGAGUUCAUUGGGCCCUAGGGAGACAAGAACUCAUCCAGAGGCUAAAUAUAAAGCCAGUCCAUCAACUCCCAUCUCUAACUAAGUUU
This is a long non-coding RNA of Acinonyx jubatus (cheetah), 3528 nucleotides long. RefSeq lists it as uncharacterized. Lineage: Eukaryota; Metazoa; Chordata; Mammalia; Carnivora; Felidae. The transcript has 3 exons. The record is from RefSeq and is a predicted model, not a curated record.